Molecule: ribosomal RNA, 472 nt
Filed under: uncultured Chloroflexota bacterium
Lineage: Bacteria; Bacillati; Chloroflexota
Description: bacterial SSU rRNA
Rfam family: Bacterial small subunit ribosomal RNA
Source: RNAcentral
AACUCAAAGGAAUUGACGGGGCCCGCACAAGCAGCGGAGCGUGUGGUUUAAUUCGAUGAUACGCGAAGAACCUCACCCAGGUUUGACAUGCAUGUGGUACCAAGGUGAAAGCUGAGGGACCCUUCGGGGAGCAUGCACAGGUGUUGCACGGCCGUCGUCAGCUCGUGCCGUGAGGUGUUGGGUUAAGUCCCGCAACGAGCGCAACCCCUGUCGCCAGUUGUAUUUUUCUGGCGAGACUGCCGAGAAAACCUCGGAGGAAGGAGGGGACGAUGUCAGGUCAGCGUGGCCCUUACGCCUGGGGCUACACACACGCUACAAUGGGCAGUACAACGGGUCGCGAAGCCGCGAGGUGGAGCUAAUCCCAUCAAAGCUGUCCUCAGUUCGGAUUGCAGGCUGAAACCCGCCUGCAUGAAGCCGGAGUUGCUAGUAACCGCAGGUCAGCAUUACUGCGGUGAAUACGUUCCCGGGCCUU